This is a long non-coding RNA of Glycine soja, 841 nucleotides long. RefSeq lists it as uncharacterized. NCBI's taxonomy places the organism in Eukaryota, Viridiplantae, Streptophyta, Magnoliopsida, Fabales, Fabaceae. The record is from RefSeq and is a predicted model, not a curated record. The transcript has 2 exons.
ACAAGAAAAUAAAAUUCACUGAGAAAACAUUGAACCAAGAACAUAAACACAAGCACUGAAGAAACAGAGUGAAGUAGUAAAUUGAUGGCUUCAGAAGAAGAGAGCGCUGUGAAGGAGCCUUUGAAUCUCAUAUGGCUUAGCCUCGACGAGCGUAUCUACGUCAAGCUCCGUUCUGACAGAGAGCUUCGCGGCAAACUUCACACUACAAAGCGUACAGUUCCUUUUCUGUUUGUUAGGGGAGAUGGGGUGAUAUUGGUUUCCCCUCCACUGAGGACUACAUGACAUGAACCAAUGAACUAUGUGAUCAGUUUAAUAACAAUUGUCACUGUUUAUGAAAUUGUAUAUCUAUAACUUAAGUAGUGAUCUCAUUUGUUAUGAUUAGAAUAGUUACUUAAUUGGCUUGUGUGCUAGAGAUUUCAGUUAGACAGUCAGCUUUUUAUUAUCUUUAUAGCACGAGAGAAUCAUGGCAUGCUCAUAAACAAGGAUUUUAACUAUCAAGGGAGCUUAAUUCAUUUGGAACAAUGCAUGUGAGUUGUUCCCUUGGUACCUGUCAUUGACAAUGUUAUCAAUGGCGGAUGAUGGAACACAGUGGAAGGCCAAAAUUCUGCCGUAUAAGCAUGCCGUUGAGGCCUAUGACACUGCCAUGGCAGACCUCCCUUCACAAAUUAUUUAUGGUGGUUGGCAAAAAAACUGUCAUGCCAUUCUGCCAUGGCAGCCAUAGCGCUGUCAUUAAAUAACACUGAUCUUAGAUUCCUAUAAAUAAAUAAAAAAAUUUAGAUGCAUGGUGGAGUUGUUGGUACAUAUUAGUAGCUCCAUAUAAAGUGCAGGCCAUGAUUCUUGA